UUCAUGUUCAUGAAUGAUCAUAUACACAGUUGGAACGAUACAGAGAUUAGCAUGGCCUCUGCGCAGGGGUGACACACACACAUGUAAAGCAUUCCAUAUUAAA
Molecule: small nuclear RNA, 103 nt
Organism: Leptonychotes weddellii (Weddell seal)
Lineage: Eukaryota; Metazoa; Chordata; Mammalia; Carnivora; Phocidae
Source: RefSeq, a predicted model, not a curated record